GCGCCCGUAGCUCAACGGAUAGAGCGAUGGACUUCGAAUCCACAGGUUGGAGGUUCGAUUCCUCUCGGGCGUACCA
RNAcentral lists this transfer RNA (76 nucleotides) under Candidatus Desantisbacteria bacterium CG2_30_40_21. RNAcentral describes it as "tRNA-Arg". It matches the Rfam family "tRNA". From Rfam's summary of the family: Transfer RNA (tRNA) molecules are approximately 80 nucleotides in length. Their secondary structure includes four short double-helical elements and three loops (D, anti-codon, and T loops). RNAcentral also lists the same sequence under 4 other names. Lineage: Bacteria; Candidatus Desantisiibacteriota. The record is from RNAcentral.